RNAcentral lists this non-coding RNA (158 nucleotides) under Acinetobacter proteolyticus. RNAcentral's name for it is "FMN". It matches the Rfam family "FMN riboswitch aptamer (RFN element)". Rfam says of the family: The RFN element is a highly conserved domain that is found frequently in the 5'-untranslated regions of prokaryotic mRNAs that encode for flavin mononucleotide (FMN) biosynthesis and transport proteins. This element is a metabolite-dependent riboswitch that directly binds FMN in the absence of proteins. Lineage: Bacteria; Pseudomonadati; Pseudomonadota; Gammaproteobacteria; Moraxellales; Moraxellaceae. RNAcentral also lists the same sequence under 1 other name. The record is from RNAcentral.
CAUCGCUUCAGGGCGGGGUGUAAUUCCCCACCGGUGGUAAGUUAGGCAUUGUAAUCAAAUGACCUAAUCAGCCCACGAGCCUGUAUAUAUUUAUAUGUACUCGCAGAUUUGGUGAGAAACCAAAGCCGACGGUAUAGUCCGGAUGAAAGAAGACGAAA